Molecule: long non-coding RNA, 17612 nt
Filed under: Citrus maxima (pomelo)
Lineage: Eukaryota; Viridiplantae; Streptophyta; Magnoliopsida; Sapindales; Rutaceae
Description: long non-coding RNA (CMAX_LNC004001)
Source: RNAcentral
UCGUCUUGCCCCUGAGCAUCGUCUUCCCGCAGCCUACGAUGAUGGCAUGGAAGUGUUGCACUGGCUCAAGACAAGUCAAGACGGGUGGUUACAACAGUACGCUGACUUUUCUUCCUGUUUCUUAACGGGAGAUAGCGCUGGUGGUAACCUAGCUUACCAGGUAGGAUUACGUGCAUCUGCUAUAGUUGAUGAUUUGUUGCCGCUGACAAUCAAGGGCCUGAUUUUGAUCAAACCAUACUUCAGUGGGGUCAAGAGGACGGAAUCAGAGUUAAGAUUGGAGAAAGAUCCUGAUUUUCCGUUGGCUCUUAAUGAUGCGUGUUGGGAGUUGGCACUGCCACUAGGUGCAGACCGUGAUCAUGAGUAUUGCAAUCCGACGGUGGGAGGUGGAUCAAAGCUGAUUGAGAAAAUGAGCUCGCUCGGAUGGAGGGUGAUGGAGUACGUUGGCUUUGCUGACCCAAUGAGUGACCGUCAGAUUGAGUUUCUAAAGCUUUUGGACCAAAAGGGGGUGGCUGUGGUGGGCCAUGUUGAUGGUAGUGGCCACCGUUCUAGAGACUUUGUUGGUCCUGCUCUGUGCCGUUAUUUUAAAGACUUUGUUUUGUCCUCCACGAAGACUGCUUAAUUAGUGAGUGGGGUGGUGGGUGAGUGUAAUUUGGUAUUUGAUGUUUAAUUAUGAUUCUCGCUUUGGAUUUUUAUGAUAAUUGCAACUAAUAAAAGCAUUCCAUCUUUCUUUUUUUUUUAGGGUAUUUACACCGUAGUGUUUGUCCUUUUUUAGAAAUAAAUAAAUAAGCUGGUUAUUGUCAAUCACAAAUUUACACUAAAAAAAUAUUACAGCUGUUGUAACUUUCAACCUCUUCAAGAACAGCUGCAAACUCGAGAAAGGCUAACCAAUGCAGUCUAAUCAUAUAGAUUUCAAGCCUUAGUUGAUCCAUAAUUAUUAUAACGUCCAUAGACUGUAAUAUGAUAAUGAUAAAUAAACAAAAGGGACUAGUAUCAUAGUAUGUGUGAGAUGUUAGAGCAAGGUGUUUGAUGCAAUUGCAAGGAUGUUUGAUGAGAAGCCUGAAUGAAGACAGUGCGUCAGGAUUGACGAGUGAGCUGGAGCUGCAGUGGCAUUGACUUGGACAUAACAAGAUGACAUUAUAUAUAUAUAUAUAUAUAUAUAUAUAUAUAUAUAUGGACGGGUGACUCAGCUUACACUAACAACUAAGUUGACUUAAAGCGAAUGAUUAGGUGAUAAGGUAUGGUACAAGUAAUAUGAACCAUUAGAUUGAAUCAUCUGUGGCCAUUAGAUGAGGAUUGCAGCUGUGAAUAGUUCAAAUGCGACAUUGCAGGGUAAAGCACAUUUAUUGUAUUAGCCCCAUAAAAGUAUUAUAAGCUUAGUUUCAAUUUUUUUUAAUUAUUUCACAUCUUUUGUAAUCUCUAAUAUAAUAGAUCAAUUAGUAUAAAUGUGAUUGUAAAUAUAAGUUGUAAUAUCUAAUGUAAUAUCACAAAUAAUCUUAUAUAUCAGUGUUAAAAAAAAAAUAGAGAGAACCGAUCACAUGGGCCACGUCACCCCUAUGAUCCAAAACCCUUUAAUUGUCUAUUAAAAUUUAAGGACUAAAAGAAAUAGACAGUUGCAACUUUCAUUAAAUGUCGACAAACUUAUCUUCAGCAUAAUUGAAUCUAAACUUCUCCUACAUUAUGUAACAAUUUUGUGUUUUUUUGGGGGGGGGGGGGGGGGGGGGGGGGGGGGGGGGGGGGGAGGGGGAGGUGCUAAUUAUUAAUCUCAUCUUGUAAUUAAAAAAGUCAAUAAUGUAUUGGCUCAAUUUCCAUUUUAACCAAGUAUAACCCAAGUUGAUUGAUUUGUUGUGAAACACUUAUCAUUUGUUGAGGUUAGUUUUGUCGAAAUUUGAUGCCGUAAAUAUUUGAUAUUUCGCAGGUUUAGAAUGGCUAUAAAUUGGAACGUCAUUUGAUGAGCAAGAUGCAAUAAGAUUUGGCACCGCCGAAAGAAAUUGACCCCUGGGGGUUUUGCUUGCGGGGAUUAAAAAUAAUUUAGCUCAAUACAAUAUAAAUACAAUACAUUUUGACAACCACAUGUGCCUUCAAAAAAUAAAAUAAAAUAAAAUAAAUAAAACGGGGAACCAUUGAAAUUACAAAAAUAAUAGCUAAAACAGUUUUAAACUUUUAAGCUUUAAGCUUCUCUCUCCAGAAGUUUAUCACAUAACCUCAGUUAUAUGUCAAACGAAAUCGCCCGCUCUCAUUCAACCAUUGAUCCCUACAAACACCUUCAGAUAGUUGUCAAUCCUGACGGCACAAUCACACGCAGCCUCAUUUCUCCAAGCACCGAGGCCACACCGGAUCCAGUCAACGAUGAUGCUGUAGUCCUCUCAAAAGAUGUCACCGUCAACCAAUCAAAAAACACCUGGGUCCGAAUAUUCGUGCGCCGUCAAGCACUUGAUUCUCCCUCUUCCACCAAGCUUCCUCUCAUAGUCGAUUUCCAUGGUGGGGGCUUCAUUUUCUUCAGUGCAGCCUCAAGCUUAUCCCAUGAGUUCUGCUCCAAUGUUGCAGUUGAACUCCCUGCGAUUGUUGUAUCAGUCGACUACAGACUUGUUGAAAAAAUAGCAUGUAUAUAUGCUAUUUUGAGAGCACAUUUUGAGUGGGUCUCACUUAACGAAAGUAAAAAAUCUUGUGAGGUUCGAAUUCUACUCUGCUGAUACUUCAAAAGUAUAAUCUUAUUUUCUCAAAAUGGUGCUUGGGUAAAUGAGAAAUUGUCUCUCAAAGUUCACCAUUGAAGUUGGAAAUUUGAAAGGAAAUGAGACUUAUCCUACAUGGGAAAAAGAAGCCUAGGGAUUAGUGUUUAUAUAUAAACAUUUAACUAUGCAUGAGUAAGAAUUUUAAGGAUAGAGGCUCUCUCCACACGCGCGUGCGCAGGGGGGUGUAAAUCCAAGACCGAUUUGGUUGAACUUGUACGCGAAUGUCAGCCUAAAAUCAUCCAUGCAAGCUUGGCACGUUUUUAAUUUCCUUUUCAAUUUUUGUUGUAACAGUUUCACGUUUUGAAUUCAAACAGCUUCAUAACAAUAAUUUUUUAGCUGUUAUACACGUUUAUGAAGUCAAUUUUAAAAUCAAUUCAUUGAAUUGAUUUGGCUGUUAUAACAAUUGUUGAUGCCGAAAUCCAGAUGAGUUGGUCAGAUCUCAGAUCCCUGCAUCAUCAUUAAAUUUGUUUGGUGGGAAGCUGAUGAUUAGUUAGCACCAUGAGCAGAUUUUCUAUGAGCAGAUGUUCUGUGAGCAGACAACCCAUGAGCAGACAAUCCAUGAGCAGACGAUCCAUGAGCAGAAAACUCAUGAGCAGACAAUCUAUGAGCAGAUAACCCGUGAGCAGACGAUCCAUGAGCAGACGUUCCAUGAGCAGAUAAUCCAUGAGCAGAGAACUCAUGAGCAGAUAACCCGUGAGCAGACGAUCCAUGAGCAGAUAACCCAUGAGCAGACGAUCCAUGAGCAGAUAACCCAUGAGCAGACAAUCCAUGAGCAGACAAUCGAUGAGCAGAUAACUCGUGAGCAGACGAUCCAUGAGCAGAUAACCCAUGGGCAGACGAUCCAUGAGCAGAUAACCCAUGAGCAGACGAUCCAUGAGCAGAUAACCCAUGAGCAGACAAUCCAUGAGCAGACAAUCUAUGAGCAGAUCACCCAUGAGCAGACGAUCCAUGAGCAUAUAACCCAUGCGUAUACGAUCCAUGAAUAGAUAACCCAUGAGCAGACAAUCCAUGAGCAGACAACCCAUGAGCAGACGAUUCAUGAACAGAUAACCUGUGAGCCUGUGAACACAACCAACAAUCAGGAGGUGCCGGAAGUUUUACCGGCGAGAACCCUCCGACGCUCAAGUCAGCGAUUCGGGUCUUACUUGAAAAAACCCAUACCACAAUUCAUGUGGCUUAAUUAUGAUUGCUUUAAACAAAAAGCUUUUAAGUAAAUUUAAAGGAGAAGAAUUCAAAAUAAUCAAUCUUAAAGAAAUCACAGGCGAAAGAGAAAUUUCUCUGUGGUAGACAGAGAAAAAGGUCCAAUGGGUUCAGUUGCUUAAAGAGAGAGAGAGAGAAAGAGAGAGCUAGAAGAAUCCCUCAUUUUCUUUUCCUUUCGGAGGAUUUUUAUAGGAAACUAUAGCGGUUUUUAUCCUCUCCCCUAGAAUUCUCAAGAAAACUACUAAUUUUCCGCCCACUAAGAACAUGGUCCCUAAUAUUUCGGAGAAAAUGUUUUGACUGAAUCAUGCUUCCUGGUAACUUCCUGGUCGAGGUGACCAAUAAUAUCCUGGUCGAGGUGAUGUGCUCGAGGUUACCACAUAUUAUUCUGGUCGAGGUGACCCAUAACAUCCUGGUCGAGGUGAUGUGCUCAAGGUCAUCACAUAUUAUUUUGGUCGAGGUGACUAAUAAUAUCCUGGUCGAGGUGAUGUGCUCGAGGUCACCACAUAUUAUUCUGGUCGAGGUGACCAAUAACAUCUUGGUCGAGGUGAUGUGCUCGAGGUCACCACAUAUUAUUCUGGUCGAGGUGACCCAUAACAUCCUGGUCGAGGUGAUGUGUUCGAGGUCAUCACAUAUUAUUCUGGUCGAGGUGACCAAUAAUAUCAUGGUCGAGGUGAUGUGCUCGAGGUCACCACAUAUUAUUCUGGUCGAGGUGACCAAUAACAUCCUGGUCGAGGUGUUCUGCUCAACCAUUUGCUCACUUUUACUUUGAGGGGAGCACGAUAAUGUAUGAGCAAACACCUUUAUCUUGGUCACCGUAUUUCAUUCCCUAAACAACAAUUAAAUAAAACAUAUUGAAUUCGAAAAUUCAAUACAAAGCAGCUGUUACAUCCUCACAUGACUAUAAAAAGGCAGCUCCUCUUCUGUUUUUUGGACACUCGAAAAACCAGUACAAAGCUCACUUGUUUUUCCUUCCUCCUUCUUUGUCGUCUGUUUUCUCUUAUCGAGUUCACUGUUGUGGUUCGCCGGAAUUUCCAUCUUGUGCUUAGCCGGGAAUUCGUGCCCGUUGUAUCCUGGGAAACAGAUACCAGCAGACCUAAAGCACGCCAAGAGGUGGUAAAUCUGUUUUAAGGAAACUGUCUUGUGCAGCCCUCGGGUUUAUAUUUCUGUUUCGGUUUCAUUCCUCUUCUGUUCUUCAUUUGUUGUUUCCGAUUGGUGGUUUACAUUGUUGUUUAAAUUAGUUAUUGUUUAAAUUGUUAUCUCACUGUGUUUGUUUUUCUAACAAGACUUGCCCUAGAGCAUCGGCUGCCGGCAGCCUACGAUAAUGCAAUGGACGCCUUGCACUGGAUCAAGAACACACAAGAUGAUUGGUUAAUGAAACAUGCUAAUUUUGACAAUUGCUUCUUAAUGGGCAGCAGUGCUGGUGGCAACAUUGCUUAUCAUGCAGGACUACGUGCGACUGCACAAGUUAAUAAUCUGUUGCCAUUGAAGAUCAAAGGGUUGUUACUUCUCUUCCCGUUCUUUGGUGCGAUCAAAAGAACCGCGUCAGAGUUGAGGUUAGUGAAUGAUCGGGUUUCGCCUCCGUGUGUUAGUGAUUUGAUGUGGGAGUUAGCGUUACCAAUCGGGGCUGACCGUGAUCAUGAGUAUUGCAAUCCAAAGGUGGAAGGUGGGUCAAAGUUAGUAGACCAAAUCAGGUUGCUAGGAUGGAAGGUGAUGGUGAUCGGAUGUGAUAGGGAUCCAUUGAUCGAUCGCCAGAUUGAGCUCGUCAGGAUGAUGGAGCACAAAGAGAUGCAAGUGGUGACUCAUUUUCAAGAAGGUGGCUACCAUGGCAUAGAGAUUAUUGAUCCUGUCAAGCGUAAGGUCCUGCUAGUUGACAUAAAAAAAUUUGUCUUGUCGUUAGAAAAGGCAGCAUAGUGAGUACUCGUAUGGUGUUUGCCGUGCCGUAUAUCAUUAUUAGUUUUUAAUAUAUUUUUGUGCUGUUUGUUGGGUAGAUUGCAGCGUGCUGUUCAUUUGCUUCUUCUUUGUUUUAUAAUAUUUUGUUUAUUUUCAAUAUCCUAUGUAAUUUAUUAAAAAGAAUGUGGGCCUCAGAAUGAACCGGUUUUGGAGUAAUUUUAUUUAACGUGUUACUCGAGUUUGAAUUUUAAGUAGAUUGGAAAUAAAAAAAUUGAUUGAGUUGAAUUGUUGGCACCCUCCUAAAAUUUUUUAAAACAGCUUUGAGUAUUUUAUAAUUUUAGACUUAAUUUAUAUUACAUAAAAGAAUACAAACAUAUUUAAUUAAACCCGCACAUAUUGGCAGAGGUGGGCACCGGUUUGGUUUCUUUUGGUUUGGUUUGAUUUCUGAAAUUUCAAUUCGGUUCGAAUUAGGAAUUUUAAAAAACUGGUUUGAGUACUUCUAUUUGAUUCUGUUUUGGUAUUAAUCAAUUCGUUUUUUUUUUUAACACCUUAUAAAACACCAAAUUGAAAUUGAAAAAAUGGAACUGAAUCGAAUUUUUCUGGUAUGGUCCAACUAAUUCCUAAAUGUCAUGUGGCAUACUCUAAUUUAAUUUGGUUCUGCCCACCCUUACAUAUUAGACACAAUUAAUUUUCUUGACCAACUAUUUUUCUAUUAUAUGCAUUUUCUUCAAUCAUCAAAGAAGUUACCAAAAACUAACUAAAACUCCAAUAUAUAUAUAUAUAUAUAUAUAUAUAUAUAUAUAUAUAUAUAUAUAUAUAUAUAUAAUUUUUUAAGGAUUAAUCUAUAUUGAAUCUUCUUUGAGAUUUCAUAAAAAAGCCUAUUGGGAGGUCUAAAUAAAACGGAAUAAUAUUCUCAUGGAUUGUGUCAAAAACAAGCCUACGAGGGUAAAUGGGCCAACACAACACCGUCCAAACCUACGUUAGCCGUGCCGUGCCGUGCCUGGUCAUGCUAGCCCAACUCCUCUUUUUUUUCAAUAAAAAAAUAGAAUCACAUUAUCAAAUGCCUUUAUUUCAUGUUCUAAACCACUAAGCUAAAACUUUUGUUGGUGAUCUAUUAUAAACAUAUAUUUAAAUAGUUAAAAUUUGAACAUGUAAAUUUUAUAAAAAAAUUAAAUUAGACAAAUUACAAUAUUUUAACUAAUUAUUUUUAAAAACAUUAUUUCAAUAAAUUGAAAUAUAUUUAAAAAAUUUAUUAUAUUUCCACUAAAUGAUAAUUCUAAUUCAAUUUAAAUUUGAAUAAUAUCUUAAAAUAAUAUAAUAUUAAUUUUAUUAAAAAAUCAAUUAAACAUAAAUAGAAAAAAAUUUGUAAAUUUAAUUUUGUUGGUUUCAAAUUCAUUUAUUUCAAUGAUAUAUUGUAGUAUUAAUUAAAAUUAUAAACAAAAUUUGAAGUGAGCUUUUUCACGUGCUGACUUGUAGCCUAUCUUUAAUCGUGCCAUGUUUGUGCGAUCCAAGUGCCUAGACAUCUAAGCCCAAUUCUGCCCACGUUCAUGUUGUGCUAUGCCAGGUGCCAUGUCCAGCAUGCUUGUACUGUUUUGUGUUGUAUGGACGCAUGUCGUGCCUAUAUUGUACCACUUAGCUUGUUGGACAUCCCUAGUUGUAACUAGCAAAACCCAAUUCUAAAAAUUCCCAAAACCUCUAAUAACGCUACUCAAAAUCAAAACAGGGACUCAGCAAAUAAAAAUUAAAUUAAUAAGUACAUUAAAUUUAAAUCCAAAUAGAUACUACACAUAGAGAAAAGAAUUGUUUAUUUUCCUCCCAUAUUUUUGGGCGUGCAACAAAGCGCCAUUAUACAGAGGAUUGAUUUAUACCUAGGAGCUGAAAUUUAGAAUAAUAAUGAUAAUGAAGUUGUCUUAAAAAUGAUGGAGUGAGUGAAAGGAAUAUCAUUCGCAUGAGACGUGAAAAUUAUAGAAGAGAGAGAGGAAAAAAAAAAGGAAUUUGAGCAAGAGUUUAAAAUUAAAAAAAAAAAUCUGAUAUGGGGUUUGAAGAAUAAUGAAAAAAUGAAGAUUGGGGUUCAAAAGGAGGAGUUUCAAGUAAAAUGUUAUUUUUGUCUUUAAGAAUUGUGCUAUGAGCAUUAAGAAAUGGUGAGGCUAUUAGAACUCACUAAAUUUCUCUUUAAGAAUGGUGAUAAAAAUUAAAAGGAGAUUGGGGUUCAAAAUGAGGAGUUUUAAGUAAAAUGCUAUUUUUGUCAUUAAGAAUGGUGUUAUAAGAAUUAAAAAAGGGUGAGACUAUUAGAACUCACUAAAUUCCUCUUCAUACAUUGUAUGUAUGUAUAUAUGUAUGUAUGUAUGUGUAAUUAAAAAUUUUAAAAUCUCAAAAUUACUCUUUGCUCAUUUUCUCUCUCUACUUUCAUAUUAUAUGUUCUCUCUUUAUUAUCACAUUAUGUAUUUUGAAAUCUCAGUUUCAUUCUUUUAUCCAUUGAUUCUUUUCUUUUCUUAAUAAAUCAAACUUUAUUUCUUUCUUCAUAUUACUGUUCUUUUUCUUUUUAUUCAUCUUAAAUUUUGUUGUUUCAAGGAUAAAUUUGAAACCCAAUGAAACUUUUAUGGUUUCCAUGGCUAGUAAAAAUUGAUUAAUAUUCUUUCUUUUAUGGUAGAUUUUUUAUUAGUUGGUUAAAAACAAUGUCAAUGUUUAUUUGAAAUUGAAAGAUAAAAGUUUAAAUUAUCUACAUUCAAAUUAAGGAACUGGGAGAAAAAGAGAAGUAGGGUUGAUUGAGUAAUUUUAUUAAAAAUUAUUUUGAAAACAAAAACUUAAUUUGAAUUCAGGGUUCAAAGGGAAAAUUGGUUAACUCAAAUAACUUCACCCUAUAGAAAUUUGUAUUAUAUUUAAAUAUUUUAAUAGGGUAGAAAAAGAAUAGGGGUUCCAAAGGUUAUUGGACAGUGCCAAUAGUCCAACUUAAAUUAAAUUGGACAAUUUUUACAUAACUUAUUUUUAAAAUAGUAUAAUUCAAAAUUGUCCAAACAAAAAAAAAGUCUCCACUCUUCAAUAACUAUCGUUCGAAUCCACUUUGAUUAAUUAUAGAGUACUGAUAUUUGACCCCUCAAUUUAUUUUAUUAGCUCUUAUUUUUCUCAUUUUAACUUAAAAUGACUAAAAUAGUAACUUAAACGUUUAAAAUUUACCGUUCUUUUCUCUCUCCUCUCCCUCGUUUAGUCGUUUACAAACUUUCUAUGGUUAAAAAGGUAAUUUUCAGUAUCAUCCCCUGAUGUUUGGGGUCCCUUCACUUAGAUAGAAUGUAUAAGCGUAUCUCUACUUUGCACCCCUACCGUUAGUAUAAAGUUUAGUAUAUAUUUAGUAUGUGAGGGCAUUUAAGUAAUUAUUUGCUAACUUAUUAAAUAGUAAAAACAUUUUGAAUUUUUACACUUUGGAAACAAGAACAUGUCAGAAACAUUGUUAUGUCUACUGGUAUUAAUAGAAGCAUGUUAGUAUUCAAUGGAUUUUACACCAAAUUAAAAACAAUUAAUGUCCGCUGGGUAAUAAUAGAAACAUGUUAGUGUUCAAUGGGUUUUUAUACCAAAUAAAAAAGGAAAAUUAUCAUUUGUAUACCCUUAGUUUACUCCAUUAUCAAAAAUACUACAACACUUUGAGGGUGUAUCAAUCGUCCACCUUAAGUUGACAAAAUGUAUCAGCUGACCACCAAACCGUUAGUUGCCGUUUAAGUAUGAUGACGUCAGAAGGGUAAUUUGGUCUUUUCAUAUGAUACAAGUGAUAAUUUAAGGGUAUACAAGUGAUAAAAAGAGAAUUUAAGGGUAUACAAGCGAUAAUUUUUAAGGGUAAAAUCGUCAAUUCACUGUAAUUCCAUUAACUUUCAAACGGCAACUAACGGUUUGGUGGUCGGCUGAUACAUUUUGUCAACUAAGGGUAGACGAUUGAUACACCCUCAAAGUGUUGUAGUAUUUUUGAUAACAGAGCAAAUAUAGGGUAUACGAAUGAUAAUUUCCCAAUAAAAAAUAAUGAUUUGUUUAAUUUUUCUUUACAAAUCGAAAAAACAAAUUCAUAUCAGCAUUAACGGAUUAAGUGAAUUCGUUGCUGUGACGAAUAAGAUGUCGAGGAAGCAAUCGAAAUCAAGUUUGACGGGAACCGUUGUAAGAGUUCAAAUUGAUUCAACGGCUUUGAGCGAAUACUGGCAACGACCAAGAACCCACCCACCUACCGAUGGAGCCACAUGCCAGGUAACUGAAACUUCCCUUUUUUGUUAUACUUUUUUUUUUCCUUUUUUCAGUGUUGGGAUGAGCUAAAAGUGAAGUUGAGGUUGAACAAUAAUGCUAAUGUGGGUCUACAGAGUUGGUGCAUGUGUUUUUUUUUUUUUCCUUCAAAUCAUGAAAACCCAUGAUAAAAAUUGUUGUUUUAGUUGGUUAUUCUUCGCUGGAUACUGAUUUUAGAGGCUAACUGCUACUAAAAUUAAGAACUUGGCAUGACUAAUUUUAGUUGGGUUAUAUGUUUUGGUCUCUAAAUUGUGAAUAUUCAUUGCAUAAACCGUUGUUAGGUUGGUUAACAUCUCAUUGAAGACGGAUAUUUCGGGCAAGAUUUAGAGCAAUAAUAUGACAAAUGCAUGUAUUUAUUUCUUUUUGGGUGGUAAUACAACAAAUGAUAAGUGUAUUUCUCAUGAGUUUUAUUGAGAUCUUAAUAUAAUUUGGCACCAAAUUUGUGAAUGAUCUAAUACCUAGUACAUAUCUAGAUAUUGUUUUACUGACGCAAGGGUAUUUAGUCAUUGAUUUAGUCAAUUAUCAGUCAACUAAACUUUAUACUAACGGUAAGAGUGUAAAGUGAAGAUACCCUUAUACAUUCUAUCUAAGUGAAGGGACCCAAAACCUCAGGAGAUGAAAUUGAAAAUUACCCAUGAUUAAAAAUUUGAUGCAAGCUCUGCAUUUUUUAUCUUAUGACAUUUAUUCGAUUCUCAAGAAUGAUUCUGCAAUUCCAAAACGCUAUAAUUGUGCGUCUAAAUUUUUUAUCCUAUUUGUGCGUGGUCAGGCUUAAGCUUGAGCUCAUAAUCGAUUAUAGCUAUUGAUUGGGUGGAUUGCAAACUCAUGGCUUAAUUUGAUCCUUAAGUGACUCAAUAUCAAUUUUUUUUUAUUCCUCAUAUUGAAAACUUUGAAACGAAUUUUACUCUCCUCUGAUUCUAUCUCGCAAUAAGAAAACAAAAGUAUGGUGCCACUAUUGGCAACAAAUUGUUAAAUAAAGGCUGUUAAAUAAAACAAUUUAAUGGAUAGAGUAACCUUGGAAAUAAAUUUAGUUAAUUAAGAAGUGGGGGCUAAUGAGAUAAACUAUGGGGAUUAAAUAUACCACUCUUAAUUUUAUUUGACAAGAUUCAAAUUACUUGGUGCUUGUACCCAGCCAAAUGUCACCGUGUUGCAGUUUAAAUACCAGUGGUGAAAUUAGGCCCCUCAAUUUUUCUUAUCAGCCCCCACUAUUUAAUUAAACACACUUAUUUUCAAAAUUAUACUUAUUAAAAUAUAAAAAUAAUUAAUAAAAAUAAUUCCAAAAACUCUAGCCACUUCCUCCAUCAUUGUUACCACCUUAACUCACCAUUCUUUAUUAUUUAUUCCAAUUUUAGCCACUUUAUUCUUAACCAAUUUUAAUUAUUUAUCGUUUAUUUCAAUGUAUUUAUAAUUUCUUGAUUAUAUACAGAAAUUAUUUUUUGCCUUUUUUCAUUUGAUAUUAUUUUGAUUAUGAUACUAUCAUAUCAAUCUCAUUAAAAUCAAUUCAAAUAAUGAGGGAUUUCAGCCAGCAGCUAUUAGGGAACUUGUUAGUAGGGUCAAUCAAUGACUAAGGGCUAGUGGUGCCAUAGCUUAAUGUGAUGAAAGUAUGGUGGAAGAUGGCUAGGAUUUCUGGAAUUGUAUUUAUAUUUUAAUUAUCUUUUUAUUGUUUAACAAAGGUAAUUGUGUGAAAAUAAGUGAGAUUAAUUAAAAAGUGGAGAUGAUGAGAGAAAUUAACGAAGUCAAAUAUUAGUAAUUUUUAAAUAUAUAGUGGAGCUAUUAGGCCCUAUUUUCUAUCUCAUCAAACCAUAAUUUUAAACACAUAUCGUUAAACUUGGGAUUUUUGGUUCAAGUUCCAGCAGACCGCUUUCUUCUUCUAAGUAUACAUUAAUAUAUAUCUGGAUGGGAUAUAUCAUCUCAUCCACUAAUUUAUAAGUAGUGCCAACUUUUUCCCCCACUAGUUUGUGAGUGGAGCUGUUAUUCUUUCAAAUUUCUAAGGAUUUUGUGAGCAAUUUUAUAAGGGUUAAUUGCGGGUUGUAUAGCAAUUUGUAAAGUUAGAAUUUGAGUUUUAUAUAUCAGUUAUAUAUAUAUAUAUGCCCUUCCUCAAUUAGAGAUGGCCAAAUAAGCCGAGCAGCUCAAGGUACAACAUAGGCACGACACGAGUACAUUUUAAUAGGGCACAUGACAACACACAAUAUGCAUGUGGGCUGAGCAAGGAUUUGAUGUUUAGGUACACGGGCUGCAAAAGUACGACAUGAUUAAAGAUAGACCAAAGUAUGGUACAUGAAAAAACAUUAAAAAAAACAUAAUUCAAAUUUUAUGUCUUACUUUUAAUUAGAUUAUUGUACUAUAUAUUAUUUAAAUAAAUGAAUCUGAAAUUAAAACUAUUAAAUUCAAGAAUGUUUCGUUCUGUUUCUAUUUAAUUGAAUUUUUAAUAUAAAAUUAAUAUUAUAUUGCUAUAAGAUAUUAAUCAAAUUUUAAUUGAAUUGUAAUUAUUAUUUAAUGCAGCAUUGCUUGUUAAGUUUUCGUAUUAUUAUUGGUGUUAUGUUAUGCAAAUGUAAACAAUUUUUUUCUUUAUAUACUUCAAUUAAAUAAAAUAAUGUAUUUCUCAAAAAGUUAGUUAAAAAUAUUGUAACUUGUGUAAUUUUAUUUUUAAUAUAAUAAUAUUUUAUAAAAUUCAGAUGUUUGUAUUUUAAUAUUUAAAUAUAUGUUUAUAGCAUAUCACCAACAAAAGUCAUAUGUUCUCAAAUCUUACUUCCGAUGGGCAUGCCCAAAAAAAAAAAAAAAGAAUCAGGCUAGCACGGCUCAGGCCUAGGCACGACACGUGCCUUAUGUGGACUUGUGCCAUGGACCGUAUAGGGCGGACCUCCAAACAAUUAGGUACAACAUAGCAUGGCUCACCAACUCAAUUAUCCAGGCUGUUCCAACCCACGCGCCUCAUGGACUUGGUUUUGACGGGCAGGCACCGACAGUUAACCGUCACACUCCUUCAAAUAUAAAGUGUAAAACAGCCACACUCACCGCAAUCCUAUGUUGAAAAAGACCUUAAACAUUAGACUGGCGCUACGUUACGUUUAAUGUAACGUACUCCACACACAGUAACAGUUGUAGGCUCCACCAUAAAAACUGUUGCUGUGUGUGGAACGUACGUUACGUUAAACGUAACGGGACCCUAAACAUUACCCCUCAUUCACCCCACAGUCUCAAUUUUUUUGUGUAAUUUUCAUAAGGCCCCAAAUAAAAGGCUACAAAAGAGGAAGCUUGGCAGCCAGAGAAAGGGAAACGAUGGCAAAAGAAACACAAAUCAAAAGAGAGUCAUAAACGAAGAAGACAGCAUACGCACAAUUCAUAGUUGUCUCCCCGCACCGGAAUGAUUUUUAUCCGGAAUCCGGAUAAGUUUUUGAAAACCCGCAUGUUUCCGGGUCCGGAUCCGAUUUCAGGUGAACCCACAAAUCCGGAACCCGGACCCGGAUAUUAUUUAUUUUAAUAUUAAUUUUUAUCCAAAAAUUCGUAAAUAUAAAUAGAAAGAAAAAACAAAAAAACAAAAGUGAACCCUAGAUCUCUCAAUCUCUCUCGUUCCUCUCUCGAAAUCUCGAAUUCUCGAUCUCUCACUCUCUUCAACUGAACUCUACUGUAAUUUCUCCUCUCAAUCUCUCAAGUCUCAUCCGUUCCUCUCUCAAUCUCUCUCACCCGUGACCUGAUCCUCAGUCCUCACUUAAUCUCUCUCACUCUCUCUUCAACUCUCCUGUAAUCUCUUCUUCAGAUCAGAUCAGAUCCUUCGCGGCGCGGCCUGUCAUCACCUUCACGGUGCGGCUGUGUUCGUUUCAUAAGUCAUCAACAUCACUCGUCUCAUCUCUCACUCUGUCGCGGCCAGCAAAAGGGGUUGAAAUUCACAACUGGGAUCAUCAUCUUCUUCUUCAUCAUAUGGCGGCUGUGUUCCACAAUCAGUUUUUGGCGUUGCAUGUUCUUUUAUCUAAAGUUUCAGCAUCAUUUAGAACACGGUGUUAAUAGUUGUGUGCGGAGACUACAGACGAGAGCAUUAAGCAUAUGCAGAAUAGAGACAGCUGGAAUUGAUUACUAGACAUGAUCGGCAAUUUUGACAGCUGGUGGCAGUGGUCUAAAUUGUUUAGGGGAUGAAAUAUUAAAUUUUUGCUUGGGUUUGUUAGGGCUGAACAAUUGAGAAGAUUCAACGUUUGUAAGUGCCGUCUUACAUAACAUGAAUUUUGGUUUGGUCUUGGAUAGUAUAAAAACAAUACAUAUUUUUUUGGAUUUAUAAUUUAUUGUUGAAUUGGAAAUGAAUUGAUGAUGUAGUUGAUCAAGAUUUAAGAGUAAAAAAAGAAAAAUUAAUGGAACUAGUCCAAAAGAGUCCGAAAGAUCUUUACAUAAUCGACGGCACUUGGGAAAACAGCUAUAUAACAAGUUUUUACCAGAAAGCCAGCUCUGUUCUUUUAGAAAAGCUUGAUGUUUAUUUUCUUAAUUAUUAUUUCUUGAGUAAAUUUUUUUCCUUCUACGGUUCUGCCAACUUUUUGGAAGCAAAAAAUAUGGAGGCUAAUAUUAAAAUAAAAUCAACAUUACUCAAAUGAUAAAGAAUAGAUAUUAAAAUAAAAUAAAAUAAACAUUACUCAAUCAUCAUCUUGGCACUAACCAUGUUCGUUGUUUUGAACACCUUGCAUUGUUGGCCAGAGGAAUAGAAGAUAAAAAUAAAGCAAUCCGGGUUCAAAACCCGAAAUCUGGAAAUCUGGAUUUUUUCGGGUUGAACCCGGACCAGACCCGGAUUAAAAAAACGGGGUUCAAUGCGGGUCUAGUUAUGAGAAUUUUGUGUCCGGAUCCGGAUCCGGAACAGCCAAACCCGGACCCGGACCCGGACCCGGACCCGAAAAUUGCCAUCCCUAUUGGGGACGCACUUGUAGACCGUCAGAUUGAGCUGUUAAAGUUGUUGGAGCAAAAGGGUAUGAAAGUGGUGGGUCAUUUUGAUGAUAGUGGCCACCGUAUGCAAGAUUUGUUGGAUUCUGCCAAGCGCAUGGCUCUGCAUGGUUAUGUGAAGGAUUUCGUAUUGUCCUCAACAAUUGCUGCUUAGUCAGUGCGCGUGUGUGCUGUCGUGGGGGCGGCUGCUUUUGCCUUUUGGCGUGUUGCAAUAUAAUGAAAGCGUCCAUCUUAACUAUCAGCAUUAAAAAAAUGCAGUGGCGUAGUGCAAUGUAAUUGAUCUUUUCUACUAAAAAAAAAAAAAGUAAUCGGUCUUGUUACGUUGACUGAUAAUGACAUAUAUAUCAAGCAUUUGUUUAAGCUUUAGUAUGCCAAUGCUAGUGUUAUGUUACAAAAUCUUAUAUUGUAUUUGUGGAAAUCCAAUAUUAUUAAUAAACUCAUUUGUUGUAAAACCUCAAACAUUGUAAAUCAAGACAGCAAUCAAUCUUUGUUUGAAUUGGUUGGCAAAGAUUGAGACAAUCACUCAUAGUGAAUUUUUGUGUUUGUCUUUAUUUAAUUCUUCUCUAUUAAGAGGCCAAUAAGAGUACCAUAAAAACGAGGGGAUAAUUGGUAAAAUUUGAUUUCUGUAGGAGGAAUAUGACCUUUCUAUUUAUUUUACAAUUUUUCUUGCACAAUUACAUAAUUUUGUAGAUUGAAAGAAAACUUACGAAACUAAGUUGAAAUAAUUAGUAUGCGAUUUCUACUAUUAAUGUUACAUAUCUCGCAUCAUAAAAAAAAAAAAGCUAAACAAGUUAAAAAAAAUCAUGCUAAAAAUCAAUAGACGAGGAACACCAUAAAAGAGCUUAUCUGAGGAUUGGACUAUGUAUCCAGGUAUCGCAUUGAUUUCUAUUAGGAUAAAAUAGGUGCUCGAUAAACUAAACAAGGUAUUUGAUGAAAUUCUUGUGCGCUACAACCCCGGCAUCAAUCAAUAGUCCAGUACGAAAUGAGGUGAAAAAUUGAAUUAGCAGCUCUUUGGUGACAACACAAGGUUAACACAGUAUUCUCAGUGAGGGUUUUCUAAAUCUAGAUGGCUCACGGAUCAGCAUUAGCAAAUGUAGACGACAAACAUGCAUGGUUGUUUUUGGGUUUUGUUAACUGUUAAAGUUACAUUUAUUGUAACUUAAAAUCAAGCUUUUUAAAUAUAAAAACGAGUAAUAGAUAUUAGGGUCAGGUGAGCCAAUAAAUAAGUUUUGUUUGAUUAUAAAUUAUAUUAAAUAUAACAGAAGACGACAUCAAAAGUCAAUGAGCUCGUAGUUCGUUGGCAUGUCUCCUUGAACUCUUAGUGAGGGUCGAUCUUUGAGAUGUGUUAUAAUAAAAUUAUUUAAGAAGAAUAUUGAUGAUCGUAAAAUAUUAGUAGAGUUAUGAUUAUAAUAAAUUAGUAUAUGUAUAUAUAAAAAAAAUACUUAAGAUGACCCUUAUCUUUAAUAACAAAGGGCAUUUAUCUAUGACCAUUGGAUCAAGUCAGCAACUCUUUGUUGACACGUUAUGCUGAGUCAGGGAUUCUCUAGAUGGCUCAUGGACAAGCAUUGGCAAAUGUACAAAGUCAAAAUAUCUAUCAUCCGCGACCACAGGAUUGCAACGUGUAUAGCCGUUAGAUUAAUUUACAGCCGUGUAUUGGACAAAUCAUUCUUGGUAUGCUCCCGCACAUAUCAGACAACCAGUGGAUCAUGAAAAGUUGAAAACUUACUCUGGGAAAAAAUACUGUUCAUUACAUUUUUCUCUCUCUUUUUUUUUUUAACUUAUUAUUAAGUUCUUUGCACGUUUAUCAUUUGAAUUAUUUCUGGACCUAAAUAUCGGAUAAACGACUAGUCUGAAGUGCAGGCUAUUUUGACUUUUCAGUCACACACUCACACCUAUUGUUGCGCGUUCGCAUCCCAUUGUAGCAAAGCCUACAGUUGGUUGCACCAUCAUAUCAUCCAAAUUCAAAGCAAUUUGCCCAACAAUGGAAAACUUCCCGGUGAGGAUCAACGCCGAUGGCACCAUCACUCGGGAACCCGAUCUUUUGCCAAGAACACCAGCCAAACCCGAUCCAAAUGACAACACAAUAGCCCUCUCAAAAGAUUUCACCGUCAACGAAUCAAAAAACAUCUGGGUACGUAUAUUCCUACCCCGUCAAGCACUUAAUAAUAAUAAUAAUACUUUUUCCUCAUCAUCCGCCAAGCUCCCUCUCAUUAUUCACUUCCACGGCGGAGGCUUCGUUGUUAGAAGCGCAGCUACAUCCACGAACCAUGAGUACUGCCAAUUGAUCGCGGCCCAAAUCCCUGCUGUGGUCGUGACAGCAGAGUAUCGUCUUGCCCCUGAGCAUCGUCUUCCUGCAGCCUACGAUGAUGGCAUGGAAGUGUUGCACUGGCUCAAGACAAGUCAAGACGAGUGGUUACAACAGUACGCUGACUUUUCUUCCUGUUUCUUAACGGGAGAUAGCGCUGGUGGUAACCUUGCUUACCAGGUAGGAUUACGUGCAUCUGCUAUAGUUGAUGAUUUGUUGCCGCUGACAAUCAAGGGCCUGAUUUUGAUCAAACCAUACUUCAGUGGGGUCAAGAGGACGGAAUCAGAGUUGAGAUUGGAGAAAGAUCCUGAUUUUCC